CCACCAACAAGCAUUACAGUGGUAGUGUUUGUAUGUACUUGUUGACUGAAGUUCUCCAGAGGGUAACAGUGUUUUAAUAGGAACAAUGUUAUUGUUAAAGAAGCAAAUUAAAAAGUUAAUUGAAUCUGAUUUUAUUUACGUGUGUAUCUCCUUACAAACUAGAGGCCCACCUUUGAAGACGCUUUGAAGAAGAACUUCAAAGAAGUUUGUCUGUACUUUGUAUUGAGAUAUGCAUGCAAAUGAUAUCAGAUUCUCCUUUUUGAAACCCCUGCUCAGGUAACAUGAGAUGGCAAGUUGGUUCUAAACACUUCCAAGAAAGUGAUGAAAGCAUCCGGUUCUUUCGCUUCUAUAAUUAAUCUCAGAUGUAUUUCACAGGGUGGCACCUUGUACUCAAGGAAGCAUGACAUUGCUGUACCAUCACCUUCCCAAAAAGCCUGGAAUGUACCUUUUCCCAGGAAGGAAAGGACUUCUUUCUGGUUUAUCACCAGCAGCAUAACGAGGCCUCAUUUAGAAACUUCGAUUCAACUGAAGAAAAAUCCAGUCAUUUUUUGAAGUGAGAAGAUUUGUGAAGAUUAUGCCUGCAAAGAACCGUGAAGGCAAGCAGGAACUCAGGUAGCCUUCCUUUAUUGAAUGGGUUAAGAGCAUGAAAUAUAGCUUUCAUUGUUACAGUUGUAGAGUUAUAGUAUAGAAAUCUAUUCUAGAAAUAUAUAUAUAACUCAGAUUUUUGUCUUAAUAUCCAAAUAGGACGGUGAGUUAUUUGCUCUCUGUGAUAUUGCCUGGUCAGAUUUGUACUUGGCCUCAAGUCAGUUCUUUGUGUUGCUGGGGGAGUUUAAUCCCCUGCCCCCUCUAGCACUUGGUGGCUCAGUAUAAAUACAACUGCUACAAAGUUUUAAAAGCAUCAAGUGAUAUUUUUUUCCAGGCUGGAAGAUACAUUGCUGAGAAGUUCCACUGAUUACAUUUCUGCUCUCCCAAACAGACAUCCAAAAGCACGUUUGUCAUUUCAGCCUCUGUUUUGUUAGACAUAUACAAAUACAGAACUAAUACCAAACAAAAAUCCUUUCCCUAAAGAGAAUAAAUGUACACAGAAGUGUUUGUAUAGAAAUCUA
This 1106-nucleotide long non-coding RNA is filed under the name Calidris pugnax (ruff). Its description in RNAcentral is "lncRNA (ENSCPUG00000004299.1)". The record is from RNAcentral. Lineage: Eukaryota; Metazoa; Chordata; Aves; Charadriiformes; Scolopacidae.